GGUGACGUGACUCUCCGUGCGCCAGUAUCUCCUUUUCCGGAAGUUGUGGCUAUAUCCAACGCUGCAGUUGCAAGGGCUUGGUAAAUCUAGCAGCUUGCGGUUGCUUCCGCUUUUAAGGUUUUCCAACUUUUACCGCGUGUAAUCUGCCAGGUAUGUCUCGUCUCCUUUUACCAACGUUUGGGUAGUAGGGGCAUACCUAAUACUGUGUUUGUAUUUGUAGUGGAUCGCGACUUGGAGUGUCCCGGACCGACGUGAGCCAGACCAUCAACGGGAUACUAAGUCACUACAAUUGCUGCUGUUUUGCCCGGAUGUUUUAUGUUUUGUUUCAUGUUUUAAUUGGUUUUAAGUAUUAAUGUGUUUUAUUGAUUGGAUGUAAAUUGGGGGGGGCGUCGUUGGGAAGGCUUGGUGCUGGGCGGUGAGGAUCCGUGUCGGGCGAUACCGCGCUGCGUGGUCGCGUUGCUUUCUUUUAGCCCACCCCUUGGGUGGAUGUACGUGCGUCAUGUACUGCGGGACCCCUUAGAGUGUUGUCUGACUGUACGCCUCCCAUUCCCCUCCCGAUAACAGCUGCCUGGUUUGGGUUUCCUCUUUUGUCGUGUGAUUGGAGUGUUUUAAACAUGAUUUGAUUUGUAUUAUUUGUGCUGUGAUUUUGGUUCAGUAAUUUGCUGUUUGGUUUCUUUUUGUUUUCAUUUGGAGUGUGAAUUAACAGCAGCCUAAUAAAGGGAGUGUUUAUGGUC
Long non-coding RNA from Brienomyrus brachyistius, 734 nucleotides. RefSeq lists it as uncharacterized. Lineage: Eukaryota; Metazoa; Chordata; Actinopteri; Osteoglossiformes; Mormyridae. The record is from RefSeq and is a predicted model, not a curated record. The transcript is spliced from 2 exons.